This 823-nucleotide ribosomal RNA is filed under the name uncultured Streptococcaceae bacterium. Its description in RNAcentral is "bacterial SSU rRNA". It matches the Rfam family "Bacterial small subunit ribosomal RNA", at positions 32 to 832 of the family's 1533-position model. Lineage: Bacteria; Bacillati; Bacillota; Bacilli; Lactobacillales; Streptococcaceae. The record is from RNAcentral.
AACGCUGGCGGCGUGCUAAUACAUGCAAGUAAACGCACAGGAUGCACCGUAGUUUACUACACCGUAUUCUGUGAGUUGCGAACGGGUGAGUAACGCGUAGGUAACCUGCCUGGUAGCGGGGGAUAACUAUUGGAAACGAUAGCUAAUACCGCAUAAGAACAUUUACUGCAUGGUAGAUGUUUAAAAGGUGCAAAAGCAUCACUACCAGAUGGACCUGCGUUGUAUUAGCUAGUUGGUGAGGUAACGGCUCACCAAGGCAACGAUACAUAGCCGACCUGAGAGGGUGAUCGGCCACACUGGGACUGAGACACGGCCCAGACUCCUACGGGAGGCAGCAGUAGGGAAUCUUCGGCAAUGGGGGGAACCCUGACCGAGCAACGCCGCGUGAGUGAAGAAGGUUUUCGGAUCGUAAAGCUCUGUUGUUAAGGAAGAACGUGUGUGAGAGUGGAAAGUUCACACAGUGACGGUACUUAACCAGAAAGGGACGGCUAACUACGUGCCAGCAGCCGCGGUAAUACGUAGGUCCCGAGCGUUGUCCGGAUUUAUUGGGCGUAAAGCGAGCGCAGGCGGUUAGAUAAGUCUGAAGUGAAAGGCAGUGGCUCAACCAUUGUAGGCUUUGGAAACUGUUUAACUUGAGUGCAGAAGGGGAGAGUGGAAUUCCAUGUGUAGCGGUGAAAUGCGUAGAUAUAUGGAGGAACACCGGUGGCGAAAGCGGCUCUCUGGUCUGUAACUGACGCUGAGGCUCGAAAGCGUGGGGAGCGAACAGGAUUAGAUAACCUGGUAGUCCACGCCGUAAACGAUGAGUGCUAGGUGUUAGGUCCUU